UACGGAGGAUCCAAGCGUUAUCCGGAAUUACUGGGCGUAAAGAGUUGCGUAGGUGGCAUUGUAAGUAGGUAGUGAAAGCGUUCGGCUCAACCGAAUAAACAUUAUCUAAACUGCAAAGCUAGAGGACGAGAGAGGUUAUUGGAAUUCCUAGUGUAGGAGUGAAAUCCGUAGAUAUUAGGAGGAACACCGAUGGCGUAGGCAGAUAACUGGCUCGUUUCUGACACUAAGGCACGAAAGCGUGGGUAGCAAACGGG
RNAcentral lists this ribosomal RNA (254 nucleotides) under uncultured bacterium. RNAcentral describes it as "partial 16S ribosomal RNA". It matches the Rfam family "Bacterial small subunit ribosomal RNA", at positions 524 to 776 of the family's 1533-position model. The record is from RNAcentral.